RNAcentral lists this ribosomal RNA (1121 nucleotides) under Involucropyrenium waltheri. RNAcentral describes it as "LSU rRNA". It matches the Rfam family "Eukaryotic large subunit ribosomal RNA", at positions 40 to 1087 of the family's 3401-position model. Lineage: Eukaryota; Fungi; Ascomycota; Eurotiomycetes; Verrucariales; Verrucariaceae. The record is from RNAcentral.
AUAUCAAUAAGCGGAGGAAAAGAAACCAACAGGGAUUGCCUCAGUAACGGCGAGUGAAGCGGCAACAGCUCAAAUUUGAAAUCUGGCUCCGUCGGGGCCCGAGUUGUAAUUUGUAGAGGAUGCUUCGGGCAAGGCCGUGGUCUAAUUCGCUUGGAACAGCGAGUCGCAGAGGGUGAGAAUCCCGUCUAGGACCGCCGGCCGCGUCCGUGUGAAGCUCCUUCGACGAGUCGAGUUGUUUGGGAAUGCAGCUCUAAAUGGGUGGUAAAUUUCAUCUAAAGCUAAAUAUGGGCCAGAGACCGAUAGCGCACAAGUAGAGUGAUCGAAAGAUGAAAAGCACUUUGAAAAGAGAGUUAAACAGUAUGUGAAAUUGUUGAAAGGGAAGCGCUUGCAAUCAGACUUGCGACGGACGGUUCCCCCGGCCUCCUGGCCGGGCUACUCCGUCACGUCCAGGCCAACAUCGGUUUGGGUGGCCGGUUAAAGACCCCGGGAACGUAUCUACCUCCGGGUCGACUUAUAGCCCGGGGUGCAAUGCGGCCCACCCGGACCGAGGAACGCGCUCCGGCUCGGAUGUUGGCGUAAUCGUUGUAAGCGGCCCGUCUUGAAACACGGACCAAGGAGUCUAACAUCUAUGCGAGUGUUUGGGUGUCAAACCCCUACGCGGAAUGAAAGUGAACGGAGGUAAGAACCCUCCGGGGCGCAUUAUCGACCGAUCCUGAUGUCUUCGGAUGGAUUUGAGUAAGAGCAUAGCUGUUGGGACCCGAAAGAUGGUGAACUAUGCAUGAAUAGGGUGAAGCCAGAGGAAACUCUGGUGGAGGCUCGCAGCGGUUCUGACGUGCAAAUCGAUCGUCAAAUUUGUGCAUAGGGGCGAAAGACUAAUCGAACCAUGGUUCAAACCCCCCCGGGACGACGCCGAUCAGGGUCGACGGGGCCUAUCAGGUGGUUCUCCAUCAGUCCUACGGGGCGACAUCGUCCUUCUGGCGGGGAUCAUCACCCGCAGCGGUCGCAUCGCGGCCGUUCACAGACUACGAGACGGUGGUCAUCUUGACGAGAAGAUGAUGAUGAUAUAGUCGGUCACGGUGGAACGUCUCCACCGUGGGUGUAUGCUGGUAGCUGGUUCCUGU